UACGGAGGGUGCGAGCGUUGUCCGGAAUCACUGGGCGUAAAGCGCACGUAGGCGGCUUUGUAAGUUAGAGGUGAAAGCCCGGGGCUCAACUCCGGAAUUGCCUUUAAGACUGCAUCGCUAGAAUUGUGGAGAGGUAAGUGGAAUUCCGAGUGUAGAGGUGAAAUUCGUAGAUAUUCGGAAGAACACCAGUGGCGAAGGCGACUUACUGGACACAUAUUGACGCUGAGGUGCGAAAGCGUGGGGAGCAAACAGG
This 253-nucleotide ribosomal RNA is filed under the name uncultured bacterium. Its description in RNAcentral is "partial 16S ribosomal RNA". It matches the Rfam family "Bacterial small subunit ribosomal RNA", at positions 524 to 776 of the family's 1533-position model. The record is from RNAcentral.